Molecule: long non-coding RNA, 365 nt
Filed under: Anas platyrhynchos platyrhynchos (common mallard)
Lineage: Eukaryota; Metazoa; Chordata; Aves; Anseriformes; Anatidae
Description: lncRNA (ENSAPLG00000018752.1)
Source: RNAcentral
GUCGCUGUAAGCAUUAAGAUUUGGCUAUGUUCUGUUCCAAUGUAACAGUUCUGUGGAGCUGCAGGAAGUUUUAUUUCUGUUGCACAUCUGCAGUAAAAACCAGGCAUUUGAAACCUGAGCCCCUUAAGGGCCCAGUUCUCAGAGAUAUUGAUCAUCUCCUACAACUUUUUGUCUGCUUUCAAUUCCCAUUGCAGUCAGCAGGAGACAAGGCUCUCAGCACCUUGCAGGAUCCAGCUCACAGAGGCUACUUUUGGAGAAGCUUGUCUGCCUAUGUAUUCAACUGGCUGGAUGAUCUCUCAUCAGAUGGCUCCAUAUGUUAUUGCACAACCCAGAUAUUUCUGCUGUCAACUGCAGGUAGUGGAUGA